AUUGAACGCUGGCGGCAUGCUUUACACAUGCAAGUCGAACGGUAACAGCACUUCGGUGGCUGACGAGUGGCGAACGGGUGAGUAAUACAUCGGGACGUGCCUAGUAGUGGGGGAUAACUACUCGAAAGAGUAGCUAAUACCGCAUGAGAUCUAGGGAUGAAAGCAGGGGACCUUCGGGCCUUGCGCUACUAGAGCGGCUGAUGGCAGAUUAGGUAGUUGGUGGGAUAAAAGCUUACCAAGCCGACGAUCUGUAGCUGGUCUGAGAGGACGACCAGCCACACUGGGACUGAGACACGGCCCAGACUCCUACGGGAGGCAGCAGUGGGGAAUUUUGGACAAUGGGCGCAAGCCUGAUCCAGCAAUGCCGCGUGCAGGAUGAAGGCCUUCGGGUUGUAAACUGCUUUUGUACGGAACGAAAAGCCCUCUUCUAAUACAGGAGGGUCAUGACGGUACCGUAAGAAUAAGCACCGGCUAACUACGUG
Molecule: ribosomal RNA, 482 nt
Filed under: uncultured bacterium
Lineage: Bacteria
Description: partial 16S ribosomal RNA
Rfam family: Bacterial small subunit ribosomal RNA
Source: RNAcentral